UUCUGGAUAGCCUGAGAUCCGAUAAAAUUGUAACGAUACAAAGAAGAUUAGCAUGGCCCCUGCGCAAGGAUGACACGCAUAAAUCGAGAAAUGACCCUUUUUAUU
Zingiber officinale is the source of this 105-nucleotide small nuclear RNA. NCBI's taxonomy places the organism in Eukaryota, Viridiplantae, Streptophyta, Magnoliopsida, Zingiberales, Zingiberaceae. The record is from RefSeq and is a predicted model, not a curated record.